Daphnia pulicaria is the source of this 1672-nucleotide long non-coding RNA. RefSeq lists it as uncharacterized. The record is from RefSeq and is a predicted model, not a curated record. Lineage: Eukaryota; Metazoa; Arthropoda; Branchiopoda; Diplostraca; Daphniidae. The transcript has 12 exons.
CAACGCUGUCUGACUGACGGUUAGGGAACAACCGAAGACCGAACGAAGCUUCUUUGGGAAGUGUAAUCGUUUGAAAGAUUCAUUGUAGACCCAAUCUUCAAAUUCCUAACAUGUUGAAAUCUUACAUGCCAAGUAAUGGACAAGUGCAGCGGGUUGGAGGAAUAAGGGUUGUGGUGCCUUGAAGAUGACGUAUUUGGAAGGUUGAUUCCUGACCUCACUUGGCUUUGCACUGGCUGGUUGUAUCUUCCAGGAUUCACUGCUUUAAUGUUAUUGAGGAAUUAAGAGAAGAUUCCAUGGCAAGACAUUUCGUGGAGGGUGGAUGUCGACUUUUACUGCUGUGGAGGAGGCAGUGGGCGUGAAUUACACCAGAUGAGAUCCAAUUAUUAAGGUGUUGGCGAUUCUUAAGGUUGUUUUGUUUAAUAACCGCAGUCGGUUGUUGAGCUAAUGUCCCAGGAACAAUGGAGUUUCAUUUUCUUUCGUUUCUAGAAGUUUGCUGCUGGUGAUUUCAUGAUCUACGUAGUAGGUGAUGUGGUAUUGCUUCUUGGUCAACGUCAUCGGAAUUGGACGAGUUCAUGUCAUACAAGAUGGACUGGUUUAUCGUUCGGUGUUUUUUUUUCUGACGCAAUCUUCAUAGGCUAUCAGUGUUUUAGGUUGCUCUGGCGUUAGUGUUGGAAUACUUAUGCCGGUGGAGUUAUUGGAUAUGUUGCGUUGUUGGUUAAAUUUUUCUUAUUACGACAUUCUUAGGACAAUUUAAUAUGUACCCGUGAUCGAUGUUUGUCUUAAGUUUUUGUGUGAGAGAGUAUUUUAUUUAAUGAUUUGGUUUAUCUAGGUUACGGUUCUACGGUCUAUUGGAUUGAUUUCUUUUAUUGACGUUUUCGUGAUAGAUGCCUGUUACCAAGAUUUCUUUUUGUUCAGUUUGCAACAUGAAAGGGAGUUUUUGAAACCUUUCUUGCUUUGCUUUCUUAAAGCAAGGGGUUGGGCAACCCGACAAAUUUUAAAUCUAACCAUUUGCUUUAGUUUCUAAGGACUCUGUGGCAAUGCGAUGCAUCAGUCUGCUACCACAAUCUGUGGAGAUAGUGACAUGGUGUUAUCCUGAAAUGGAGAACCGAGACCUGAAGUGGAUCGUAAGAAGACUUCUUGAAAUGUCUGUUCAAGGUAUCGUCGGAAAGGAGUCUGUGAUUCCUGUGUUAUCCUGGGGUAUGUUGGCGUUCUGACUAUGCUUGUUGCUGCUUGUUUGUGAUUAGUGUAUUGUAUGAGCAGUCCAUAAUGUCGAUAAGUGCAUAUCUCCGCUCUUUUCUUUUCAUUGGCCCCGUUUCCCCAACUAACUAACGCCAUCCGGUGAUCACUCACCCGCUGUGACAACCAGCAGAAGAGGGCUCUGGUCGAACGGACGGGUCGAACUGGAUGCUUUGAGGGUUAUGAAUCCAACCCGGAAACCUAUUAUGACUACAUCUUCUCAGCAAAACUGUCCUUGCAUUUCUUUUUCCGUCCUGUGCAUGGUCAGUAAAGGACGAGUCUCCUGUCCUCCUGUCUUCGUUGACUGAAUUUGCAAGUUUUAGCAAGCAAUUUGCUAAUACAGAGCGACUACAAUUAUACAUUUCAGAUAAUAUCCAGAUAAAUAUUGUAUUUUUUAAGUUUAUUUUGCUAUGAAUACAUUAUUAAUUUCCCCAUA